CAGAAAUGCCACAAUGUUGAAAGGAAUGCAUUACAGUUCCCACAAACACACACCCCUCCCUGCAACCACUACAAGAUAUGCAAGCAACUCUGAGCUGACUUGGAUCUAAUUCUUCCCAAUUCAUGCCACAAGCCCAACUCAUCAGCUGAUACCUGAGGAUGAUCCACUGCUCACUGAGCGUGGUCAGGGAGCGCCGCUGUCGGACGAGCAUCUUCAUCAAAUGUGCUGAGAACCCUCUGCACCUCUCCACGUUGCCCAUGCCCAUUUCCUGGCAGAAGAAGGAAAAACAUGCUGAAGGGGCUGCUGACAAACAUCACCCACAGAUGUGCCUCUAGAAAGCUGUUUCUACUAUAAGCGUCAGACAUGCCACACUCUAGAGGUGACAUAUUCAUUUUUUUGAGCAGUGUUUCUCCAAUUAUGCUUGCACAGAUCAUUGAGAUUCCAUAGACAGGAACUGGAUUUAACUCCAAAA
This 472-nucleotide long non-coding RNA is filed under the name Homo sapiens (human). Its description in RNAcentral is "MDN1 antisense RNA 1". Lineage: Eukaryota; Metazoa; Chordata; Mammalia; Primates; Hominidae. The record is from RNAcentral.